CCUACGGGAGGCAGCAGUGGGGAAUAUUGGACAAUGGGCGGAAGCCUGAUCCAGCAACGCCGCGUGAGGGAUGACUGCCUUCGGGUUGUAAACCUCUUUCAGCACAGACGAAGCGAAAGUGACGGUAUGUGCAGAAGAAGCACCGGCCAACUACGUGCCAGCAGCCGCGGUAAUACGUAGGGUGCGAGCGUUGUCCGGAAUUAUUGGGCGUAAAGGGCUCGUAGGCGGUUUGUCGCGUCGGGAGUGAAAACACACAGCUUAACUGUGUGCUUGCUUCCGAUACGGGCAGACUAGAGGUAUGCAGGGGAGAACGGAAUUCCUGGUGUAGCGGUGAAAUGCGCAGAUAUCAGGAGGAACACCGGUGGCGAAGGCGGUUCUCUGGGCAUUACCUGACGCUGAGGAGCGAAAGUGUGGGGAGCGAACAGGAUUAGAUACCCUGGUAGUCCACACCGUAAACGUUGGGCGCUAGGUGUGGGGCCUAUUCCAUGGGUUCCGUGCCGCNGCUACGCAUAGCGCCCGCCGUCGGGAGGUACGGCCGCGACGGACGUAAACGUAACGUAAAGUAAGUUAGACGGUCGUUGAGACGNGCCGACGGCGACGACGAGGGAGGAGG
This 613-nucleotide ribosomal RNA is filed under the name uncultured bacterium. RNAcentral's name for it is "bacterial SSU rRNA". The stretch from base 1 to 521 matches the Rfam family "Bacterial small subunit ribosomal RNA", at positions 338 to 873 of the family's 1533-position model. The record is from RNAcentral.